Molecule: ribosomal RNA, 392 nt
Filed under: uncultured bacterium
Lineage: Bacteria
Description: partial 16S ribosomal RNA
Rfam family: Bacterial small subunit ribosomal RNA
Source: RNAcentral
CCUACGUGGGGCUGCAGUGGGGAAUAUUGGGCAAUGGGCGCAAGCCUUACUCAGCAAUUCCGCGUGAAGGAAGAAGGCUUUCGGGUUGUAAACUUCUUUGACAGGGGAAGAGCAGAAGACGGUACCCUGAAAACAAGCCACGGCUAACUCCGUGCCAGCAGCCGCGGUAAUACGUAGGUGGCAAGCGUUGUCCGGAUUUACUGGGUGUAAAGGGCGUGUAGCCGGGAAGGCAAGUCAGAUGUGAAAUCCGGAGGCUCAACCUCCGAAUUGCAUGUGAAACUGUUUUUCUUGAGUAAUGGAGAGGCAGAGGGAAUUCCGUGGGUAGGGGGGAAAUGAGUAGAUAUAAGGAGGAAGACCAGUGGCGAAGGCGGUCUGAUGCACAGCAACGGACG